AUUGAACGCUGGCGGCAGGCCUAACACAUGCAAGUCGAACGGUAACAGGAAGCAGCUUGCUGCUUUGCUAACGAGUGGCGGACGGGUGAGUAAUGUCUGGGAAACUGCCUGAUGGAGGGGGAUAACUACUGGAAACGGUAGCUAAUACCGCAUAACGUCGCAAGACCAAAGAGGGGGACCUUCGGGCCUCUUGCCAUCGGAUGUGCCCAGAUGGGAUUAGCUAGUAGGUGGGGUAACGGCUCACCUAGGCGACGAUCCCUAGCUGGUCUGAGAGGAUGACCAGCCACACUGGAACUGAGACACGGUCCAGACUCCUACGGGAGGCAGCAGUGGGGAAUAUUGCACAAUGGGCGCAAGCCUGAUGCAGCCAUGCCGCGUGUAUGAAGAAGGCCUUCGGGUUGUAAAGUACUUUCAGCGGGGAGGAAGGGAGUAAAGUUAAUACCUUUGCUCAUUGACGUUACCCGCAGAAGAAGCACCGGCUAACUCCGUG
Molecule: ribosomal RNA, 490 nt
Filed under: uncultured bacterium
Lineage: Bacteria
Description: partial 16S ribosomal RNA
Rfam family: Bacterial small subunit ribosomal RNA
Source: RNAcentral